UGUUUUCAUAGCAACAGCAGCAUGGCUAAACGCAAGUACGACAGCGAGUACAUUAAAUAUGGAUUUUCCUACAUCGAAGACAAAGGAGUCCAAAAGCACGCAUCUGAAUAAACUUUUCGAGCGGUUUAGCGACUACUUUCCCGAUAAACAACCCGAGGACGACUGGGUGCGCGACCCGUUUGGAAUAAACAUGGAAAGCAUCACGUUGCCUAGCAGCGAUUAAUGUCAGCUGGUGGAGCUAUCAUGUGACCGCACUCUCAGAAAGAAAUUCACAGAGGUCCCUCUCUAUCUCCCCACACAUCAACCACUAGAACACAUCUCCAAAGU
Molecule: long non-coding RNA, 327 nt
Organism: Amphiprion ocellaris (clown anemonefish)
Lineage: Eukaryota; Metazoa; Chordata; Actinopteri; Pomacentridae
Source: Ensembl